AUCAUGAACAGGGGUGAAGAACAAAUACAGCAAAGGUCUCUGAGCUGAAAUAACUGGACUUGCAAAUGUAACACUGCAGUGUGAGGAAUAAAAAGCUGUAUAAACAUAUACACUAAGCCAGUUAUUUUCUCCAAAUGACAAAGCUGUAAUGGUGAAAAGACAUUUUUUCCAGUUUUGUCACAGAAGUACACACUGAAAUUUAGACCAUUUUGCAGUCAGUGUAUAGUGGCUUCUUACUAAUUCUGCUAAAUCAAAAAGUACUGAACCCUUCAGAUGAAUGCCUUGUUCCUUCAUGGUGGCAAUUUACUCUGCUUUCCUCUUAGGCAUUAAUUCUGGAUUCUAUACAGAGGUAAACUGUUGUUGUUGUUGUUACUACUGUCAUAUAAACAGUAAAACAGAUUGUCAGAUUGUCUUUUAUUCCCAGCUAGAAACUCUUGCAACAGAUUUUUUUUUUUAAUAACUGUCUCUUUUCAUAAGUAGCACCUCAUGAGGAGAAAAAAAAUUCUAAAUAACCCAACAUGCAGUAUCAAUUCAAAAGGAUUAAAAGAAUUGAACAAUUAAUGAUUGCAAAGUAGGAGAAGGCUUUGUUCUGCAUUCUGAUUCCUACCGAACAGUACCUGAGCUUUCAUCACAGAUGUCAGGAAAAAAUAUGGAAACACGAGCCAGCUGAAAUCGUCUAUCAACUCUUUUAGAAACACAAAUACGCAAGAAUUGUGGUUUAUAACAGCUUUACUUUGAAUCUUAUUUUAGCUGACAACAGUCCUCUGAACCUCUGCUUUUGCCAGGAAUCUACUAAUGGACUCAGAGUUUUGCUUCUGCAGUGAUUUGGAGCAGGACCUAUGGGUGACGGGUUAGAAGACUAUCAUCACAGAGAUCUGUGCCUUCACAAGCAGGUGACAACAAAUUGUGGGAUGGGCCAAGAAUGAGCAACCAUGACCUGGAGCCAUGGC
Long non-coding RNA from Struthio camelus australis, 950 nucleotides. RefSeq lists it as uncharacterized. Lineage: Eukaryota; Metazoa; Chordata; Aves; Struthioniformes; Struthionidae. The record is from RefSeq and is a predicted model, not a curated record.